GUGAUCGUGGGGUAAUUGGUAACCCACCUCGUUUGGGAUGAGGACGAUGCAGGUUCGAGUCCUGCCGGUCGCACGA
Molecule: transfer RNA, 76 nt
Filed under: Brevibacterium sp. 239c
Lineage: Bacteria; Bacillati; Actinomycetota; Actinomycetes; Micrococcales; Brevibacteriaceae
Description: tRNA_Pro_TGG
Rfam family: tRNA
About the family: Transfer RNA (tRNA) molecules are approximately 80 nucleotides in length. Their secondary structure includes four short double-helical elements and three loops (D, anti-codon, and T loops). Further hydrogen bonds mediate the characteristic L-shaped molecular structure. tRNAs have two regions of fundamental functional importance: the anti-codon, which is responsible for specific mRNA codon recognition, and the 3' end, to which the tRNAs corresponding amino acid is attached (by aminoacyl-tRNA synthetases). tRNAs cope with the degeneracy of the genetic code in two manners: having more than one tRNA (with a specific anti-codon) for a particular amino acid; and 'wobble' base-pairing, i.e. permitting non-standard base-pairing at the 3rd anti-codon position.
Source: RNAcentral